CCGCAACAAACGGCGGGUAUAAGUUCCGCGCGCCACCACCGGAAAGACGGAGUAUGUCUACUGAGCCCAUAGUAGGGAUCAGUGCCUUCUGCUUUAAGUCUCUGGUCUGGUGGAGUGUCGCAAUGUGCAAUGUUUGUUGCGAAUGAAGCGCGUCGUCGUGAUGAAACUGGCAAAUGUGGUUUUGAAACCGGCCAACGGUCAAAACCUAAAGCGGAGAGUCUAAAAGUGUGUGUCAUGUCCAGCAGAUUGCUGUCUUUCGAUGACUAUGUGUUGCAUUUCCAGAGCUAACUUACCACUCAUACUGACUGGAUUGCUGUCCUUGAUGUUCCUCGCAAUAUCGUCCUUAUUUUCACCGUAGAUAUGUCUUCCUUUCAAGAGAAUAUAGCCGAAGACAAGGCCUUCUGCGUAUACGUCGCUUUUGGUGGGGCCUUUAAUUUUUUCAGUGUGUACGUCUCUGCUGCUAAUUUCCAUCUCUUCGGGGGAAAACCAAAUUAGAGUCCCUUUGACUCCACUCAUUAUGAAUGUUCCCCAUUCACUCACUUCCCGUGAAAAUCCAAAAUCAGCCCACUUGAUCGUUAUCUUUUCAGCUGUCAAGUCUGUAUGUUUCACAAAAAUGAGAAUGUUUUCCGGUUUAAUGUCCCGGUGGAUUAGUUGCUGUGAAUGAAUGUACUCGAGACCAGUGGCUAACUGGAAGAAAACCUCGAAAUUAUUUGGUAAUGCAGGUCCUUUAUAUUUCCGAGGAUCGUCCUCAUUUAGGAACACCUGAUCCAAUGAUGCGUCGCACAAUUCCAAAACAAAGUAACUAAAUCACAGAAAUAAUAUGGAAAUUCUCUUUUUAAUUCAAAGUUAUCAUGUAAUAAUCUUACUUGAAGUCUUUAUCCCUUGUGAAGUAGAAAAGUUUUACUACAUUGGGAUGGUCGUCUAACUGUAGCAGAAUUUUUAACUCACGGUCAACUAUCUGAACUCUCUCAGGUCUAAUAUCGAUUCUUUUUACUGCUACACUUUGACCUUUAUACGUACCACGAAACACUGAACCGUAGCCACCGGUACCCAAACGAUAUUUGCGAUCGAAUUGGAUGCCAUCUACAUUUUCGGCAACAGUCGAUGACAUUUCAGGUUUAAUUGCACCUGAUACUAGCAAGACAAGAACUUAUGCGAGCUGCUUUUGUACAAUACCGGUUCUAAAACACUGGGCAACCCUCACUUGCAACUCGAAAUUGCUUAGAAUUUAUCAGUCAGUUUAUCUGUAAAGCAUAGAAUAUAACCUACGAGUCCAAUGCAGAUAAUGAUUUGUUAUCACAUUAUCUACCUGUUGAUCUGUGUGAAAGGUCAGCGAAAUUUUUUCAUUUGCUUCUUAAAAUUACUUCACAUCAUUUUUACGGGAUUUGUGUUCGUUUUCUUGACAAUUGAUUUUGCAUUGAAUUAAUAAUUCGCUCAGCGUGCUUUUCUAAUCGUUUAAUUUAAUUGUUUCUGCCUAUAAACGUUUUAUUGUAGAGCUUUACUAAUUGCGCACUGCGCUGUUCACUUUCGACAUGUAUACCUUAUCGCAUUGUCUUCUCAUUAUCUUUCGUGAAGCUUUUCCCCGUUCUUUUUUAAAAUGUAAAUAUGCUACGAAUAUAUGUUACAUAUUUCUUUGACGAACAUGGUAUAACCUACUUGAUGAGGUCCAAAUAAUACGAACACUGAUUAUCUUUAUUAGUCGCAGGUGUUGAAGAGAAAGUAGCACAAAUAUAAAGAAACGAUCAGCUGUCCUGCCAGUUUGUCGACAAGUAAUGCAUAAGUAAAAUAUCUCUUUAAUUUUUCACCUUCGCUUUGUCCUUCCUAUGGUUAAUUUAAUUACCUAGCCUACUCAUCUUUCUUCCUGUUAUUGCAUGUUUCGGCGUGUUUUACAGUUCAUAUAACUUUCCCUUUAGGAUUAUGUCCGUUAUCCAGGACAAGCACAAAACGACCAUAUUUUGCAGUGACCAAACAGAAAGAAAAAAAUGUAUAACAAUAAUUAAAUAAGUCGAUUUACAAAGCCAGAUUAUUUUCUUUUUGAAAGGCAAAUGUUCAUGUUUGCUUUUGUUUUCGUUCAGAAUUGCGCAAUGGAAAGCGAAAAAAUUAUGCUGACCGAGGCCACUACUCAUUGUUUGAUAUUGUUUUUCAAUUAGCUUGGGAAAUAAUGACAUUUUGCAUGAAAUCACGUUAUUUUCCAAUCAUUUUUAUUCCAAGAAAUGCAAAAUGGCAACACUGCAUUGGCAAAAGUCUAACUACCCCAUCGCAGUGUUCACUCCAUACUUUGUAGUCUAUGAUACGCGUGUAAGAGAAUCGUUACCAUCUCGCCUUAACGACCUGGUGUUACGCAAACUCACUGAUUGUGCUGCAGUGCCAGUAGUGCAACAAGUACAGUUAUCAGCCUACCAACAGGCAGUAAAUCACAUUUAUUGAAUCUAAUCAAACAUCCGUGAUUACGUCAACCUAUUUGAUGCAGCAACGGAAAACAUAGAACGCCAUCUUGUAUUCGUUUUGUCUUUUACUAUGUUGCGAAGUGUGUCUACAAUUAGCACAUCUUAUUCAACCUUUAAUAGGCAAAAUGGUGGAAAACCUUGAAGAUACAGGAAAAGAUGAACAAUUUAAGGUACUACAGUUUAAGAGCAAUUUAAGGCCAUAGCCUCCAGGAUAAGUUUAAGAAUUCGAUCGGACAGAGCCGGACUAUCACUCAGUACAUACGUCGCCAUCAUGUUCUUGUAAGUUUCCUCCAUUUCGAGGCUCAUUCCACUUUCACCCUUAACUGGUUCCACAUCCGUCUCUUCGUUCACUAAAAGGCCAACAACACAAUGAAGACGAUUAAAGAGCACUGAUACCCAAACGGAAAUCAACUGUCACCUGGUUUUGGCUCUUUUAGUUGUUCGUCUGCAUCCAUAUCUUGUAAACUGGUCACAACCUUCUUAUUUUGGGUCAUGGAAACGAUCAUGACGCCUAUCAACAUCCACAUUAACGACCUUUUCUUGUAAUCCUCUAGAAAGUUUUGCCAGCUGUAGUUGUCCAACGAAAUGCCGAGCAACCUCAGAUCGGUCGUCAAAGUAUCAAAAUAAUAACGAAGCAAGACGAGCAUGUAUCGCUCUCUCAACUCCGGCAUUGUACUCGUGUACAUGAAGUAAAGGACGUCACUGAGUGGGUGGCCGAUCCUCGAUAGUUGAAAAUCGAGCAUUCUCAAUGAAACAGGAAUGUCUGCUGGUGCAUUCUCGUUCUUUGUCCCAUCUUCCUUUUCAAUUUGAUACGUCUGGUCUGCGUAUCUGAAGAGCAUAUUGUUGUUCCAAAAAUCCCCAUGAAGAAUGCAAGCCAAUGGACCACUGCUCUCGAGAUUAUCGACUAAAACGAUUUCCGGUAUUCGUUGCUGUAUGUUUAUCAACCAUUCAACUACCUGGUAUGACAAGAAUACUUCCCAGCGUACUCACAUCAGGUCUGUCUAUUUCUUUGGCGAAAUUGACGAUCGAGAUGGAAAAGUCUUGAAGGAUUUUAAUGAUUCCUACGUCAUACAUGGAUUUCUCUUCCAAAAUGAAU
Long non-coding RNA from Daphnia carinata, 3543 nucleotides. RefSeq lists it as uncharacterized. The transcript is spliced from 4 exons. The record is from RefSeq and is a predicted model, not a curated record. NCBI's taxonomy places the organism in Eukaryota, Metazoa, Arthropoda, Branchiopoda, Diplostraca, Daphniidae.